CCCAGACUCCUACGGGAGGCAGCAGUGAGGAAUAUUGGUCAAUGGGCUUACGCCUGAACCAGCCAAGUCGCGUGAGGGAAGACUGCCCUAUGGGUUGUAAACCUCUUUUGUCAGGGAGCAACGCCGGCUACGUGUAGCCGGACUGAGAGUACCUGAAGAAAAAGCAUCGGCUAACUCCGUGCCAGCAGCCGCGGUAAUACGGAGGAUGCGAGCGUUAUCCGGAUUUAUUGGGUUUAAAGGGUGCGUAGGCGGGUUAUAAAGUCAGCGGUAAAAUCGUGGGGCUCAACUCCAUCCAGCCGUUGAAACUGAUGAGCUUGAGUGGGCGAGAAGUAUGCGGAAUGCGUGGUGUAGCGGUGAAAUGCAUAGAUAUCACGCAGAACUCCGAUUGCGAAGGCAGCAUACCGGCGCCCAACUGACGCUGAAGCGCGAAAGCGUGGGUAUCGAACAGGAUUAGAUACCCCGGUA
RNAcentral lists this ribosomal RNA (465 nucleotides) under uncultured bacterium. Its description in RNAcentral is "bacterial SSU rRNA". It matches the Rfam family "Bacterial small subunit ribosomal RNA", at positions 330 to 792 of the family's 1533-position model. The record is from RNAcentral.